CCUACGGGAGACAGCAGUGAGGAAUAUUGGUCAAUGGGCGCGAGCCUGAACCAGCCAAGUCGCGUGAGGGAGGCCGGCCCUACGGGUUGUAAACCUCUUUUGCCGGGGAGCAACGGGCGUCACGUGUGGCGCCACUGAGAGUACCCGGAGAAAAAGCAUCGGCUAACUCCGUGCCAGCAGCCGCGGUAAUACGGAGGAUGCGAUCGGUAUCCGGAUGUAUUGGGUUUAAAGGGUUCGUAGGCGGAUCGUUAAGUCAGUGGUCAAAUUGAGGGGCGUAACCCCUUCCCGCCAUUGAAACUGGCGCUAUUGAGUGGAAGAGAAGUAUGCGGAAUGCGUGGUGUAGCGGUGAAAUGCAUAGAUAUCACGCAGAACCCCGAUUGCGAAGGCAGCAUGCCGGCUUCCGACUGACGCUGAAGCACGAAAGCGUGGGGAUCGAACAGGAUUAGAUACCCGUGUAGUC
RNAcentral lists this ribosomal RNA (460 nucleotides) under uncultured bacterium. RNAcentral's name for it is "partial 16S ribosomal RNA". It matches the Rfam family "Bacterial small subunit ribosomal RNA", at positions 338 to 795 of the family's 1533-position model. The record is from RNAcentral.